UACGGGGGGGGCAAGCGUUGUUCGGAAUUACUGGGCGUAAAGGGCUCGUAGGCGGCCAACUAAGUCAGACGUGAAAUCCCUCGGCUUAACCGGGGAACUGCGUCUGAUACUGGAUGGCCUGAGUUUGGGAGAGGGAUGCGGAAUUCCAGGUGUAGCGGUGAAAUGCGUAGAUAUCUGGAGGAACACCGGUGGCGAAGGCGGCAUCCUGGACCAACACUGACGCUGAGUGAGCGAAAGCCAGGGGAGCAAACGGG
Molecule: ribosomal RNA, 254 nt
Filed under: uncultured bacterium
Lineage: Bacteria
Description: partial 16S ribosomal RNA
Rfam family: Bacterial small subunit ribosomal RNA
Source: RNAcentral